GUGGAUUAGAUACCCUGGUAGUCCACGCCCUAAACGAUGUACACUAGUUGUUGUGAGACUUGAUCUUGCAGUAAUGCAGUUAACACAUUAAGUGUACCGCCUGGGGAGUACGGUCGCAAGAUUAAAACUCAAAGGAAUAGACGGGGACCCGCACAAGCGGUGGAGCAUGUGGUUUAAUUCGACGAUACACGAAGAACCUUACCUGGACUUGACAUAGUAAGAACUUUCUAGAGAUAGAUUGGUGUCUGCUUGCAGAAACUUAUAUACAGGUGCUGCACGGCCGUCGCCAACU
This 292-nucleotide ribosomal RNA is filed under the name uncultured bacterium. RNAcentral's name for it is "partial 16S ribosomal RNA". It matches the Rfam family "Bacterial small subunit ribosomal RNA", at positions 773 to 1060 of the family's 1533-position model. The record is from RNAcentral.